GACGAACCGUCCUAACGUUAUUCGGAAUCACUGGGCUUAAAGGGCGCGUAGGCGGGAUCGUAAGUCAGGGGUGAAAUCCCACGGCUCAACCGUGGAAGUGCCUUUGAUACUGCGGACCUCGAGGUGGGCAGGGGCGUGCGGAACUUCCGGUGGAGCGGUGAAAUGCGUAGAUAUCGGAAGGAACACCGGUGGCGAAAGCGGCACGCUGGGCCCGUACUGACGCUGAGGCGCGAAAGCCAGGGUAGCAAACGGG
This 253-nucleotide ribosomal RNA is filed under the name uncultured bacterium. RNAcentral's name for it is "partial 16S ribosomal RNA". It matches the Rfam family "Bacterial small subunit ribosomal RNA", at positions 524 to 776 of the family's 1533-position model. The record is from RNAcentral.